RNAcentral lists this ribosomal RNA (253 nucleotides) under uncultured bacterium. RNAcentral describes it as "partial 16S ribosomal RNA". It matches the Rfam family "Bacterial small subunit ribosomal RNA", at positions 524 to 776 of the family's 1533-position model. The record is from RNAcentral.
UACGGAGGGUGCAAGCGUUGUUCGGAAUUACUGGGCGUAAAGGGCUCGUAGGCGGCCAACUAAGUCGGAUGUGAAAUCCCCAAGCUUAACUUGGGAACUGCAUCCGAUACUGGAUGGCUUGAAUCCGGGAGAGGGAUGCAGAAUUCCAGGUGUAGCGGUGAAAUGCGUAGAUAUCUGGAGGAAUACCGGUGGCGAAGGCGGCAUCCUGGACCGGCAUUGACGCUGAGGAGCGAAAGCUAGGGGAGCAAACGGG